AUUGAACGCUGGCGGCAUGCCUUACACAUGCAAGUCGAACGGCAGCACGGGAGCAAUCCUGGUGGCGAGUGGCGAACGGGUGAGUAAUAUAUCGGAACGUGCCCAGUCGUGGGGGAUAACGUAGCGAAAGCUACGCUAAUACCGCAUACGAUCUAUGGAUGAAAGCGGGGGAUCGCAAGACCUCGCGCGAUUGGAGCGGCCGAUAUCAGAUUAGGUAGUUGGUGAGGUAAAGGCUCGCCAAGCCGACGAUCUGUAGCUGGUCUGAGAGGACGACCAGCCACACUGGGACUGAGACACGGCCCAGACUCCUACGGGAGGCAGCAGUGGGGAAUUUUUGGGACAAUGGGCGCAAGCCUGAUCAGCAAUGCCGCGUGCAGGAUGAAGGCC
RNAcentral lists this ribosomal RNA (387 nucleotides) under uncultured bacterium. RNAcentral describes it as "bacterial SSU rRNA". It matches the Rfam family "Bacterial small subunit ribosomal RNA", at positions 30 to 416 of the family's 1533-position model. The record is from RNAcentral.